GUAAUACUGUAUAAUCCCUGCGGGGGAAAGAUUUAUCGCUAUUAGAUGAGCCUACGUUAGAUUAGCUAGUUGGUAAGGUAAUGGCUUACCAAGGCUAUGAUCUAUAGCUGGUCUGAGAGGACGAUCAGCCACACUGGAACUGAGAUACGGUCCAGACUCCUACGGGAGGCAGCAGUGGGGAAUAUUGGACAAUGGGCGAAAGCCUGAUCCAGCUAYGCCGCGUGAGUGAAGAAGGCCUUCGGGUUGUAAAACUCUUUCAAUAGGGAAGAUAAUGACGGUAC
This 281-nucleotide ribosomal RNA is filed under the name uncultured Ehrlichia sp. Its description in RNAcentral is "partial 16S ribosomal RNA". It matches the Rfam family "Bacterial small subunit ribosomal RNA", at positions 163 to 478 of the family's 1533-position model. The record is from RNAcentral. Lineage: Bacteria; Pseudomonadati; Pseudomonadota; Alphaproteobacteria; Rickettsiales; Anaplasmataceae.